UGGCGGACGGGUGAGUAACGCGUGGGCAACCUGCCUUACACAGGGGGAUAACACUUAGAAAUAGGUGCUAAAACCGCAUAAGCGCACAGCUUCGCAUGAAGCGGUGUGAAAAACUCCGGUGGUGUAAGAUGGACCCGCGUCUGAUUAGCUUGUUGGCGGGGUAACGGCCCACCAAGGCGACGAUCAGUAGCCGGCCUGAGAGGGCGAACGGCCACAUUGGGACUGAGACACGGCCCAAACUCCUACGGGAGGCAGCAG
RNAcentral lists this ribosomal RNA (258 nucleotides) under uncultured bacterium. RNAcentral's name for it is "partial 16S ribosomal RNA". It matches the Rfam family "Bacterial small subunit ribosomal RNA", at positions 96 to 354 of the family's 1533-position model. The record is from RNAcentral.